Molecule: long non-coding RNA, 330 nt
Organism: Poecilia latipinna (sailfin molly)
Lineage: Eukaryota; Metazoa; Chordata; Actinopteri; Cyprinodontiformes; Poeciliidae
Exons: 3
Source: RefSeq, a predicted model, not a curated record
UCCAUCUGAUCAUGAAGUUCACUUCCUGAUACAGGGGCAUAGGAGACAGGAGAUGGAGCUAUGGAUUGAUGACUCUCUCCAUUGUUAAUCCAGCGGACAUUAAAGACCAUUGGCAGCUUGAGUUCCAGAUGUUUGCCUUGAGCUGCCCGUCGUCAGGCAGCAGGAUUGUAUUCGACACUUGCUUCACAUUUCAAACCAGCAAGUCUGAGCUUGUGGGACAAAGUCCAAUAUGUGUACAAAAGCAGAGUAACCUACAGACAAAGAUGAAACCCCAGAUGGAGGUUCCAGUUAUGGCCAGUACAAAGACUGCUACAUCCAGGCAGAAGUAGG